RNAcentral lists this transfer RNA (71 nucleotides) under Callisaurus draconoides myurus. Its description in RNAcentral is "tRNA-Ile". Lineage: Eukaryota; Metazoa; Chordata; Lepidosauria; Squamata; Phrynosomatidae. The record is from RNAcentral.
AGAAAUGUGCCCGAAUUCUAGGGAUUACUUUGAUAGAGUAAACUAUAGAGGUUAAAAUCCACUCAUUUCUU